Homalodisca vitripennis (glassy-winged sharpshooter) is the source of this 1892-nucleotide long non-coding RNA. RefSeq lists it as uncharacterized. Lineage: Eukaryota; Metazoa; Arthropoda; Insecta; Hemiptera; Cicadellidae. The transcript has 2 exons. The record is from RefSeq and is a predicted model, not a curated record.
GUUUAUAAAAACAUUCAGAACUUUAAUUGAUUGCUAUUGUAUUGUUUUAGAUAAUCAUUUUUAUUGAUACAAUUCGAACAUUUAAUCAUCACAUCGGUCAGAUUGAAUGGAAAACCAGGGACGUUUUAGUGAUUCUGAUGAUGAUUUUGAACUUCCUGAAGAUCGAAGAAUGACCAGGGUUCUCUUUCACCAGAUGAAAUCCAAUAUCCUAACAGUGAUGAUGAUACUUACCUAGAAAAUACUCAUCAUCCCCGACAGAAUUCACCCAAGACCCGAAUCCAUGUGCAAGGCAUUGGAAGGGAUGACAUCCGAACAAGUACAAGAGCUCCUUCACAAGUUGCACAUCAGUGAUGAAUCCAGUCAAGAUGAAGCUAUUCCCCCUGAAAAAGAAAAUGUUGUAGAGCAGACUGGAUGGAAAAGACCAAGUAAAACUUAAAAAGAAGAAAAGCUCCAGCUAAAAAAGUCACUAAAGGAAAUACCAAAAAUAAUAAAACAAGAAUUUUCAGAUCAAAGUGCUGAACAGAUAGAGUUACCCCCAGUAAGAAAAAUGUAGCUCUAGAAGAAACUAAGACAAAGAAAACAAAGCGAGGAAAGAAGGAUAUUGCCUGCUCCAGAGAAUGUUUCUGUGCCAGCAUCAGAUCACAAUAUUACUAUCAAAAGUUUGACAAAAAAGAUGUGGAUGAAGAAAUUAAUAUGAAGAGUAAGAAAAAGGUCACAAAGAGUAAACCAAAAUAGUGCUAAGGAAAUAGGUUCCGAGGAUCAUUCUGUAUUACCACCAAAAGAGGAAAGUAAUUCUCAAAACGAAGACAAUAAACAAGAGUCUGAAAAUGGCAACAAGACUAAAAAAAACCACCAAGAAAGGAAAACAAACAGAAAAUGUUCAUGCAGAUGAACCAAAAGAAGAUGAUAAAAAACAGCAGAAUACUAAAGUUGUUGCAAAUAAUGGAGAGAAAGAAAAGCCAGGAAGACUCUUGAAAAAGAGUAAGGAUGAACCUCCUGUUGAGAACGAAGUUGAAAAAUGCCUCAGAAGGAAAGAAAAUAGGUGAAAACAAAUUAACAAAGCAAGCUAAGGGGAAACAGAAGAAUGCCAAUGGAAGUUUUGAAAGGAAAUAAUGAGUCCAAGGAAAAAGAAUCUGACAGUAUUAUAGCUGAGGAACCCAAUAAAGGACGAGCUAAAAGGAAUGCAAAGAAAGAAACUAAAGACGUUGAAGUCGAUGAACUUGAACAGGUAAAAGAAGUUCAGAAAUCAAAAAAGAAAGUAAAUUCCAAACAAAAAGAAAAUGAAGAUCCAGAUAAAAAUGAACCAAAGAGUAAACCAGCACCAAAAACAAAUUCAGCAAAAGAGAAAAAAAUUCCUACGAAUAAAAAAGAAGAUAAAAUAAAAGAAGAAGAGGUACCUGCAACUAAGAGAGCUACCAGAAGAAACAGUAAAAUAGUAAUAGAAAGUUGCUUAGUUAGUCCCACUUGGUCUAUUUUUUUUUAAUUUUAACGUAUUUAGUGUUAAAUUUCAUUUAUUCAAAAUAAUUUAAUUUUUUAGGCUUUAAAAUAAUUUUACUAAAUCAGCUGAACGAUUUUGUAAAUACAAAAUGUUUACCUCCUUAGCUGAUUAUAUAUUAUUGUAAUCACUUAGAUUUUAUGAUAGCUUUGGGAAUUUUUUGUUGGUAUUUAAGAUAUAGUUUUUACAUUGUGUUAUGUACAAAACCAGAAUUUUACUGGUGGAGCUUAAAGCAAAACAUUUAAGAUUAAGUACAUUAAAAAACUGUUUUUUGUUAUUAAAUAAAAAUACUAAAGUUAUUAGCCAAAAACGUUUUUUAAGUAAGUAAUUUAUUGUUGUAUUACUGUCAUUAUGUUAUGUAAGUUUUACACUAUUACAUUAAAUAUUUUUACAUUAA